AACGAACGCUGGCGGCAGGCUUAACACAUGCAAGUCGAGCGCCUCGCAAGAGGAGCGGCAGACGGGUGAGUAACGCGUGGGAACGUACCCUUAUCUUCGGAAUAGCUCUGGGAAACUGGAAGUAAUACCGAAUGUGCCCUUAGGGGGAAAGAUUUAUCGGAUAAGGAUCGGCCCGCGUUGGAUUAGCUAGUUGGUGGGGUAAAGGCCUACCAGGGCGACGAUCCAUAGCUGGUCUGAGAGGAUGAUCAGCCACAUUGGGACUGAGACACGGCCCAAACUCCUACGGGAGGCAGCAGUGGGGAAUAUUGGACAAUGGGCGCAAGCCUGAUCCAGCCAUGCCGCGUGAGUGAUGAAGGCCUUAGGGUUGUAAAGCUCUUUCACCGGAGAAGAUAAUGACGGUAUCCGGAGAAGAAGCCCCGGCUAACUUCGUG
This 431-nucleotide ribosomal RNA is filed under the name uncultured bacterium. RNAcentral describes it as "partial 16S ribosomal RNA". It matches the Rfam family "Bacterial small subunit ribosomal RNA", at positions 29 to 507 of the family's 1533-position model. The record is from RNAcentral.